AGAGUUUGAUCCUGGCUCAGGAUGAACGCUGGCGGCGUGCUUAACACAUGCAAGUCGAACGAUGAUCCCCAGCUUGCUGGGGGGAUUAGUGGCGAACGGGUGAGUAACACGUGAGUAACCUGCCCUUAACUCUGGGAUAAGCCUGGGAAACUGGGUCUAAUACCGGAUAUGACUCCUCAUCGCAUGGUGGGGGGUGGAAAGCUUUAUUGUGGUUUGGAGGACUCGCGGCCUAUCAGCUUGUUGGUGAGGUAUGGCUCACCAAGGCGACGACGGUAGCGGCCUGAGAGGGGACGGCCACACUGGACUGAGACACGGCCCAACUCCUACGGAGGCAGCAGGGGGAAUAUUGCACAAUGGGCGCAGCUGAUGCAGCGACCCCGUGAGGAUGACGGCCUCGGUUGUAACUCUUCA
RNAcentral lists this ribosomal RNA (411 nucleotides) under uncultured bacterium. Its description in RNAcentral is "bacterial SSU rRNA". It matches the Rfam family "Bacterial small subunit ribosomal RNA", at positions 8 to 437 of the family's 1533-position model. The record is from RNAcentral.